UGGGGAAUUUUGGACAAUGGGCGAAAGCCUGAUCCAGCCAUGCCGCGUGAGUGAAGAAGGCCUUCGGGUUGUAAAGCUCUUUCGGCCGGAACGAAAUCGCUCGGGCUAAUACCCCGAGUGGAUGACGGUACCGGAAGAAGAAGCACCGGCUAACUACGUGCCAGCAGCCGCGGUAAUACGUAGGGUGCAGGCGUUAAUCGGAAUUACUGGGCGUAAAGCGUGCGCAGGCGGCUUCCUAAGUCAGAUGUGAAAUCCCCGGGCUUAACCUGGGAACUGCGUUUGAAACUGGGAGGCUAGAGUGCGGCAGAGGGGGGUGGAAUUCCACGUGUAGCAGUGAAAUGCGUAGAUAUGUGGAGGAACACCGAUGGCGAAGGCAGCCCCCUGGGCCAGCACUGACGCUCAUGCACGAAAGCGUGGGGAGCAAACAGG
Molecule: ribosomal RNA, 429 nt
Filed under: uncultured bacterium
Lineage: Bacteria
Description: bacterial SSU rRNA
Rfam family: Bacterial small subunit ribosomal RNA
Source: RNAcentral